GAAUUACAAAUAUUGUGACUAUAACAUUUUUUGCGUAGUUUUUAAACAUGUUAAUUUUGUUUCAAAAAACUUAAAAAAUCUAUAUCCAAAAUAAAAUUAUUGACUCUUGAAAUUUAAAUUAUGAUACAUAAAUUAGAAUAUAAGAGGUACAAAUUUCACAUUUUGAAGCCUGCUACUUGAUAUUGAAUGAGUGGUGAUAAAAUUGGGACAACUCACCAAUCCCAAUCACAAAAGGGUGUAAAAUGGUACUGUUUGUGUCUUUAAUAUGUAUGUCUUUUAGUCAGUAUUCAAGGGCCAGACAAUAAUAUCAAGAAAAGUUGAUGUGCAUGUAUUUUAACAUGUGCAGAGGGAGGUGCUGUAACACCCGAGGAGGUGCGAGAGUCGAGAGAUUAAUGGUAGGAAUACGCGGAAGGGUGAGGUAGGUCAAAAAAGUAUUUAGAAAAAUGAGCUUAUUUUGUAAAUAUUUUUUUAAAAAAAAUACUUUAGGUGAGAAGUCUUUUGUGUUGAUUAUAAAGUUAAAAGACAAUAAUUUGUGUUUGACUGAACUUUUUUAAAUGUUUCUAAGUGUAAUUUUUUCUCAAAAAGUGUUCUUCAAAUUAAGAGGGAUUUUGGGUAGAAACUAUUUUAUACUCCCUCCGUCCCUAUUUAGUUGUCCAUAUUUCCUCUUUUAGUUAUUCCUAUUUAGUUGUCCAUUUUGACAAAUCAAGAAAGGACAACAAAUUUUUUUCUAUUAUACCCUUAUUUAAAUAAAGUUGUCAUAAAUAAAGUAAAUAAACUUAUGAACUUCCCAACAUUGAUUAGUUAUCUUGAGUUAAUUUAUUUUCGAAUUGUAAAUUGUACUAUAAAAGUAAAAUUGUAACUUCACUAUGCUAAUCAUUGUUGCCUUAAUCUGUGUGUCAUUUCUAAAGUGGACAACUAAAUAGGGACGGAGGGAGUAUGUUAUGAAAAACAACUUUUGUUAUUCUUUAGAAGCACUUAUUGUCCCUCCAUAAAGCUUGCCAAACACCUUAAGCAAUUUUUUGAAGAUGAGCAAAAAUUUAAGAAAAAGCACUUUUGACCUUCCAAAAGUUUGGCCAAUAGACUGUUCAAAAUUUGAACCGUGACAUACACCUGACCUACACAUAAAUUGAUGCACUAUGUAUCCUAAUUCUCUUCUAAAAGACACUAGGAAAACUUUUCUCAUUCCUUCUUCAAGAAACAAGCCUGAUGCUGAUUGAUACAAAUUCAAACGAGCAAUACAUGAGUCUAUGUCAUUUUCGUUUGAGAAAAGACCUAUCCAUGCAAAUGUUUGUUAACUGAAAUAAUAUAAAUGAGACAAACUUUUAACAAAUAUCAUAUAUAAGCAUUUUCUCAAAGUUCGAUGAUAUAUUUGAGCCUUUUCCCUUUUUUUUUAGUAACCAAAUACCAGAAAAUAAGUAACAAACUUUUCUUUUUCGUAGGACCUUCAUACCAAACACAACUUUUGUUUUACUUGCUCUCUUGUUGUAUACUAAGGUCUUAUAUUUUCAAGCAAAGCAUAUGGAAGUAGUAACAUAGGGCUAAUAAAGAGGAAAUCUAACUCAGUUCUAACAACUAGGAACACAAUAUGUCAAAGUUCCCAGCUUAUUAUACUAAUCAACAAACUAAAAUGAGAAAGUAGUUGACAAGACUCUAUAGUAACUUGAGCAUUUGCCUCAUGGACUUGAGAAAUGUUCACUUCAAGACUCUAUGAUACACUUGCUUGUUAUAUGGUUUGAGCUCAUGAUUGCCCCAAAAACAGGUGUUGGUGGAGCGGGUCUUGAUGGCAACGCAGAAAUGAAGUCUACCAAAUCAUUCAGAUUCUUAUGUGAAGUACCAUCAAUCUGCAUUGCAGCAACUAUGUUUUGUUUCAUGUCUAC
RNAcentral lists this long non-coding RNA (1877 nucleotides) under Solanum tuberosum (potato). Its description in RNAcentral is "long non-coding RNA (STUB_LNC010237)". Lineage: Eukaryota; Viridiplantae; Streptophyta; Magnoliopsida; Solanales; Solanaceae. The record is from RNAcentral.